GAUGAAGAACGUAGCGAAAUGCGAUAAGUAGUGUGAAUUGCAGAAUUCAGUGAAUCAUCGAAUCUUUGAACGCACAUUGCGCCCCUUGGUAUUCCAUGGGGCAUGCCUGUUCGAGCGUCAUUUGUACCCUCAAGCUCUGCUUGGUGUUGGGUGUUUGUCUACCAUCGUGGACUCGCCUUAAAGUCAUUGGCAGCCAGUGUUUUGGUAUUGAAGCGCAGCACAUUUUGCGCCUCUAGUCUAGAACACUAGCGUCCAGUAAGCCUUUUUCCACUUUUGACCUCGGAUCAGGUAGGGAUACCCGCUGAACUUAAGCAUAUCAAUAAGCGGAGGA
RNAcentral lists this unclassified non-coding RNA (331 nucleotides) under soil metagenome. Its description in RNAcentral is "partial contains 5.8S ribosomal RNA, internal transcribed spacer 2, and large subunit ribosomal RNA". The stretch from base 1 to 120 matches the Rfam family "5.8S ribosomal RNA", at positions 35 to 154 of the family's 154-position model. The record is from RNAcentral.